CCUACGGGUGGCAGCAGUGGGGGAUAUUGCACAAUGGGGGGAACCCUGAUGCAGCGACGCCGCGUGGGUGAAGGAGUGCUUCGGCAUGUAAAGUCCUAUCGGCAGGGAAGAAGCAAGACGGUACCUGACUAAGAAGCCCCGGCUAACUACGUGCCAGCAGCCGCGGUAAUACGUAGGGGGCAAGCGUUAUCCGGAUUUACUGGGUGUAAAGGGAGCGUAGACGGCGCUGCAAGUCCGGAGUGAAAGCCCAUGGCUUAACCAUGGUAAUGCUCUGGAAACUGUGGAGCUUGAGUGGGAGAGGGGCAGGCGGAAUGCCUAGUGUAGCGGUGAAAUGCGUAGAUAUAAGGAAGAACACCGACGGCGAAGGCGGCCUGCUGGACCGUAACUGACGUUGAGGCUCGAAAGCGUGGGGAGCAAACAGGAUUAGAUACCCUAGUAGUC
This 441-nucleotide ribosomal RNA is filed under the name uncultured bacterium. Its description in RNAcentral is "partial 16S ribosomal RNA". It matches the Rfam family "Bacterial small subunit ribosomal RNA", at positions 338 to 795 of the family's 1533-position model. The record is from RNAcentral.